This 537-nucleotide ribosomal RNA is filed under the name Salmonella enterica. RNAcentral's name for it is "partial 23S ribosomal RNA". It matches the Rfam family "Bacterial large subunit ribosomal RNA", at positions 1 to 578 of the family's 2925-position model. The record is from RNAcentral. Lineage: Bacteria; Pseudomonadati; Pseudomonadota; Gammaproteobacteria; Enterobacterales; Enterobacteriaceae.
GUUAAGCGACUAAGCGUACACGGUGGAUGCCCUGGCAGUCAGAGGCGAUGAAGGGCGUGCUAAUCUGCGAUAAGCGCCGGUAAGGUGAUAUGAACCGUUAUAACCGGCGAUACCCGAAUGGGGAAACCCAGUGUGAUUCGUCACACUAUCAUUAACUGAAUCCAUAGGUUAAUGAGGCGAACCGGGGGAACUGAAACAUCUAAGUACCCCGAGGAAAAGAAAUCAACCGAGAUUCCCCCAGUAGCGGCGAGCGAACGGGGAGGAGCCCAGAGCCUGAAUCAGCAUGUGUGUUAGUGGAAGCGUCUGGAAAGGCGCGCGAUACAGGGUGACAGCCCCGUACACAAAAGCGCAUGUGCUGUGAGCUCGAUGAGUAGGGCGGGACACGUGGUAUCCUGUCUGAAUAUGGGGGGACCAUCCUCCAAGGCUAAAUACUCCUGACUGACCGAUAGUGAACCAGUACCGUGAGGGAAAGGCGAAAAGAACCCCGGCGAGGGGAGUGAAAAAGAACCUGAAACCGUGUACGUACAAGCAGUGGGA